UACAGAGGGUGCAAGCGUUGUUCGGAAUUACUGGGCGUAAAGCGCGCGUAGGCGGCUUUGCAAGUCGGGCGUGAAAUCCCCAGGCUUAACCUGGGAACUGCAUUCGAGACUGCAUUGCUAGAGUAUGGGAGAGGGAAGUGGAAUUUCCGGUGUAGCGGUGAAAUGCGUAGAUAUCGGAAGGAACAUCAGUGGCGAAAGCGACUUCCUGGACCAAGACUGACGCUCAUGUGCGAAAGCGUGGGGAGCAAACAGG
This 253-nucleotide ribosomal RNA is filed under the name uncultured bacterium. Its description in RNAcentral is "partial 16S ribosomal RNA". It matches the Rfam family "Bacterial small subunit ribosomal RNA", at positions 524 to 776 of the family's 1533-position model. The record is from RNAcentral.